AGUCAACGGGCUCACAUUUUGUAGCAAUACAUUUUGUGAAUCAGUGGCAGACGAGGUAGUAACACGUAGGGACCUACUUUUAAGACGGGAAUAAUUCGCCGAAAGGCGGACUAAUACUCGAUAAUAUCUUCGGAUUAAAGAAGCAAUUCGCUUAGAAAAGGACCUGCGGAGUAUCAGCUAGUUGGUAAGGUAACGGCUUACCAAGGCUAUGACGCUUAGGGGACCUGAGAGGGUGACCCCCACCGAUGGAACUGAGACACGGUCCAUACACCUACGGGUGGCAGUAGCCGAGAAUAUUCGACAAUGGAGGAAACUCUGAUCGAGCGACGCCGCGUGAUGGAUGAAGUCCCUCUGGGACGUAAACAUCUUUUAUAGAGGAGAAAGCUUCGGCUGAUAGUACUCUAAGAAUAAGGGGUUGCUAAACUCGUGCCAGCAGCAGCGGUAAUACGAGUGCCCCAAGCGUUAUCCGGAAUCAUUGGGCGUAAAGGGUGUGUAGGCGGUGUUGUUAGUCUUCUGUUAAAACUUCGGGCUCAACUCGAAGACUGCAGAGGAAACGGCAAUACUUGAGGAUGCGAGAGGUGAAUGGAACUCAUGGAGUAGGGGUGAAAUCCGUUGAUAUCAU
RNAcentral lists this ribosomal RNA (622 nucleotides) under uncultured bacterium. Its description in RNAcentral is "bacterial SSU rRNA". It matches the Rfam family "Bacterial small subunit ribosomal RNA", at positions 60 to 700 of the family's 1533-position model. The record is from RNAcentral.